Molecule: ribosomal RNA, 590 nt
Filed under: Streptomyces sp. NCIM5572
Lineage: Bacteria; Bacillati; Actinomycetota; Actinomycetes; Kitasatosporales; Streptomycetaceae
Description: bacterial SSU rRNA
Rfam family: Bacterial small subunit ribosomal RNA
Source: RNAcentral
GCCGGCCUGAGAGGGCGACCGGCCACACUGGGACUGAGACACGGCCCAGCACUCCUACGGGAGGCAGCAGUGGGGAAUAUUGCACAAUGGGCGAAAGCCUGAUGCAGCGACGCCGCGUGAGGGAUGACGGCCUUCGGGUUGUAAACCUCUUUCAGCAGGGAAGAAGCGAAAGUGACGGUACCUGCAGAAGAAGCGCCGGCUAACUACGUGCCAGCAGCCGCGGUAAUACGUAGGGCGCAAGCGUUGUCCGGAAUUAUUGGGCGUAAAGAGCUCGUAGGCGGCUUGUCACGUCGGUUGUGAAAGCCCGGGGCUUAACCCCGGGUCUGCAGUCGAUACGGGCAGGCUAGAGUUCGGUAGGGGAGAUCGGAAUUCCUGGUGUAGCGGUGAAAUGCGCAGAUAUCAGGAGGAACACCGGUGGCGAAGGCGGAUCUCUGGGCCGAUACUGACGCUGAGGAGCGAAAGCGUGGGGAGCGAACAGGAUUAGAUACCCUGGUAGUCCACGCCGUAAACGGUGGGCACUAGGUGUGGGCAACAUUCCACGUUGUCCGUGCCGCAGCUAACGCAUUAAGUGCCCCGCCUGGGGAGUACGA